GAUGAACGCUGGCGGCGUGCCUAAUACAUGCCAGUCGAGCGAACAGACGAGGAGCUUGCUCCUCUGACGUUAGCGGCGGACGGGUGAGUAACACGUGGAUCACCUACCUAUAAUACUGGGAUAACUUCGGGAAACCAGUGCUACUACCGGAUAAUAUAUUGAACCGCAUGGUUCAAUAGUGAAUGACGCUUUUGCUGUUUCUUAUAGCCGGAUCUGCGCCGCAUUAGCUAGUUGGUAAGGUAACGGCUUACCAAGGCAACGAUGCGUAGCCGACCUGAGAGGGUGAUCGGCCACACUGGAACUGAGACACGGUCCAGACUCCUACGGGAGGCAGCAGUAGGGAAUCUUCCGCAAUGGGCGCAAGCCUGACGGAGCAACGCCGCGUGAGUGAAGAAGGUCUUCGGAUCGUAAAACUCUGUUAUUAGGGAAGAACAAAUGUGUAAGUAACUAUGCACGUCUUGACGGUACCUAAUCAGAAAGCCACGGCUAACUACGUG
Molecule: ribosomal RNA, 497 nt
Filed under: uncultured bacterium
Lineage: Bacteria
Description: partial 16S ribosomal RNA
Rfam family: Bacterial small subunit ribosomal RNA
Source: RNAcentral